GAUCAUGGCUCAGGGAUGAACGCCAGCGGCAGGCUUAAUACAUGCAAGUCGUGGGGCAGCAGGUUUGUAGCAAUACAGAUGCUGGCGACCGGCAAACGGGUGCGGAACACGUACAGAACCUUCCUUGAGCGGGGAAUAGCCCAGAGAAAUUUGGAUUAAUACCCCAUAGUAUAAUGAAGUGGCAUCACUUUAUUAUUAAAGAUUUAUCACUCGAAGAUGGCUGUGCGGCUGAUUAGGUAGUUGGCGGGGUAAAGGCCCACCAAGCCUGCGAUCAGUAACUGGUGUGAGAGCACGACCAGUCACACGGGCACUGAGACACGGGCCCGACUCCUACGGGAGGCAGCAGUAAGGAAUAUUGGUCAAUGGAGGCAACUCUGAACCAGCCAUGCCGCGUGGAGGAUGAAGGUCCUCUGGAUUGUAAACUUCUUUUAUAUGGGACGAAAAAGGCUUUUCUAAGUCGUCUGACGGUACCAUAUGAAUAAGCACCGGCUAACUCCGUG
This 500-nucleotide ribosomal RNA is filed under the name uncultured bacterium. RNAcentral's name for it is "bacterial SSU rRNA". It matches the Rfam family "Bacterial small subunit ribosomal RNA", at positions 15 to 507 of the family's 1533-position model. The record is from RNAcentral.